This is a long non-coding RNA of Oxyura jamaicensis (ruddy duck), 267 nucleotides long. RefSeq lists it as uncharacterized. The record is from RefSeq and is a predicted model, not a curated record. NCBI's taxonomy places the organism in Eukaryota, Metazoa, Chordata, Aves, Anseriformes, Anatidae. The transcript is spliced from 3 exons.
AACCUUUUGGUUUUGCCAAAAAAAAAACAAAAACAUUUUUUAUUGUCAUUACUCAUUUCAAAUGCACUUGCAAUGAAAAGUUAAACUAACCGAGAUUUGAGAAAGCUACAACUACUUUAUAUUAUUAAACGUUAGUGAUAUCUUGGCAAGACAAAACCAGGCCUAAACAAAAAGCUCAAGCAGUAAGCUAACAAUGACAUUUUAUAUUUGAUAGAAAGUUUUAAUUUGAAAAUAUGUAUUAAAAUUGUACAGACAAUAUGAAUUAAA